Molecule: ribosomal RNA, 219 nt
Filed under: uncultured bacterium
Lineage: Bacteria
Description: partial 16S ribosomal RNA
Rfam family: Bacterial small subunit ribosomal RNA
Source: RNAcentral
UAAUGUAUGGGGAUCUGCCCGAUAGAGGGGGAUAACUACUGGAAACGGUGGCUAAUACCGCAUAAUGUCUACGGACCAAAGCAGGGGCUCUUCGACCUUGCACUAUCGGAUGAACCCAUAUGGGAUUAGCUAGUAGGUGGGGUAAAGGCUCACCUAGGCGACGAUCUCUAGCUGGUCUGAGAGGAUGAUCAGCCACACUGGGACUGAGACACGGCCCAG